RNAcentral lists this ribosomal RNA (500 nucleotides) under uncultured bacterium. Its description in RNAcentral is "partial 16S ribosomal RNA". It matches the Rfam family "Bacterial small subunit ribosomal RNA", at positions 30 to 523 of the family's 1533-position model. The record is from RNAcentral.
AUUGAACGCUGGCGGAAUGCUUUACACAUGCAAGUCGAACGGCAGCACGGACUUCGGUCUGGUGGCGAGUGGCGAACGGGUGAGUAAUGUAUCGGAACGUGCCCAGUCGUGGGGGAUAACGUAGUGAAAAUUACGCUAAUACCGCAUACGAUCUAUGGAUGAAAGCGGGGGAUCGCAAGACCUCGCGCGAUUGGAGGGGCCGAUAUCAGAUUAGGUAGUUGUUGGGGUAAAGGCCCACCAAGCCAACGAUCUGUAGCUGGUCUGAGAGGACGACCAGCCACACUGGAACUGAGACACGGUCCAGCCUCCUACGGGAGGCAGCAGUGGGGAAUUUUGGACAAGGGGCGAAAGCCUGAUCCAGCCAUUCCGCGUGCAGGAUGAAGGCCCUCGGGUUGUAAACUGCUUUUGUACAGAACGAAAAGGUUUCUACUAAUACUAGGAGCUCAUGACGGUACUGUAAGAAUAAGCACCGGCUAACUACGUGCCAGCCGCCGCCGUAA